This is a long non-coding RNA of Wyeomyia smithii (pitcher-plant mosquito), 1162 nucleotides long. RefSeq lists it as uncharacterized. The transcript is spliced from 6 exons. The record is from RefSeq and is a predicted model, not a curated record. NCBI's taxonomy places the organism in Eukaryota, Metazoa, Arthropoda, Insecta, Diptera, Culicidae.
UGUUUUGCAAGUUAACUGAUGCGGUUUGUGUUUAGUUGCGUUGUUUUUUUUAUUUAUAAUAAUAAGCAUAGGUGAAAAUAAAUUCAAAUAAUAAUCGAUGAUCUUUUCGCGGAUCCUUUUCUGAUUCAAAAACAUAAUGAAAUUCCUGAGCUUCGAAAUCUUUUAGUGAAUGAAUCGGGAAUAGAUCCUUCUGUUUAUUCAAUCGUAAUCGGAAUUAUAUUAUAUUUUUCGAGACUGUACGAUUGGAAAAACGCAUCCCUCUGGACACUUACGCGAUCGCUACCACAAUCGGAAAAAACAAUCUCUAUUGGAAAGACAACAAUUUCAACAAACGAUACCAGAAGACGCUAGGAAUAACUGACGAAGAUAUCGAAAAGCAGAAUUCUUUCAAAAUUUGGCUUCGAAACUAUCAACAACGGGCUGAUAAAUUCUUUAAUCUUUGGAACGACUCGUUUUUGCUACGCAUACAAACCAUCUUAAAAGACACAGCUGCUGGCAAAAUAAAUGUACUGGCCGAGUGAUCAAGACCUGUAUACCUUUUGAUCGACGCGGAUUUUGAUUCUAUAUAUGGAAAAUUGGACAUUCCUCGAAGGACACACGGGAAAGAUUUAUUCAACAAUUCUUAUCAUGUAUAUCAAAAUGGAUUGAAGGACGAUCUUUCUCGACAAUUGUUGAACCAUCUAGAGGAAACAUCUGUUGUCAAAAAUACCCGAGAUUUCAUCUGUUGUUCCAUUUUCCAUGGGGUCAAGCCGGUUCGUACGUCAUCAAGAAAGCUGCCAUCGUUUCUACGAGUGCAAACUGAUGUGUGUUAAAACGUAAAUUUAAUUCCGAGAAGUAGUAGAGCUUUUGCGUCAGGAACUUAAAGAGAAAAAUAUUUUAUUUUCGCAUCUAUGUAAUAGCCAAACCAAACAGGUAACAAGGUUACUUUCGAUUGAAGAAAUACUUUUAAUGAACACUAAAUGGAACAUGUAAAUAAAAUGUAUUGAAAUCGAACGUUUAUUAUAAAAAAAAACCCGUAAUUUUACCGCAAUGUGCUCAACCAUAUCAUUCUUUGUUUUUAAAAAUACUAUAUCACACAGUUGGUUUUCCUGUAAAUGCGCUAAAUUCAAGUGCUAAAUAUUGUUGAAAUACACCUGGUAUGAUUGCUGAAAGUACUAUGAAA